AUGAACGCUGGCGGCGUGCCUAAUACAUGCAAGUCGAGCGAACGGACGAGAAGCUUGCUUCUCUGAUGUUAGCGGCGGACGGGUGAGUAACACGUGGAUAACCUACCUAUAAGACUGGGGUAACUUAGGGAAACCGGAGCUAAUACCGGAUAAUAUUUUGAACCGCAUGGUUCAAAAGUGAAAGACGGUCUUGCUGUCACUUAUAGAUGGAUCCGCGCUGCAUUAGCUAGUUGGUAAGGUAACGGCUUACCAAGGCAACGAUGCAUAGCCGACCUGAGAGGGUGAUCGGCCACACUGGAACUGAGACACGGUCCAGACUCCUACGGGAGGCAGCAGUAGGGAAUCUUCCGCAAUGGGCGAAAGCCUGACGGAGCAACGCCGCGUGAGUGAUGAAGGUCUUCGGAUCGUAAAACUCUGUUAUUAGGGAAGAACAUAUGUGUAAGUAACUGUGCACAUCUUGACGGUACCUAAUCAGAAAGCCACGGCUAACUACGUG
RNAcentral lists this ribosomal RNA (496 nucleotides) under uncultured bacterium. RNAcentral describes it as "partial 16S ribosomal RNA". It matches the Rfam family "Bacterial small subunit ribosomal RNA", at positions 29 to 507 of the family's 1533-position model. The record is from RNAcentral.